AGCCGUGUGAUAGAAACAAAGCGAACUAUUCUUUCGCCUUUUACUAAAGAAUACCGUGUUUCUGUUACUCAAAGCGGCAUAUGUCAAUUUUUGAAAGAGUCUUCUUUUAGGAGGCU
Molecule: non-coding RNA, 116 nt
Organism: Cajanus cajan (pigeon pea)
Lineage: Eukaryota; Viridiplantae; Streptophyta; Magnoliopsida; Fabales; Fabaceae
Source: Rfam